RNAcentral lists this long non-coding RNA (3291 nucleotides) under Homo sapiens (human). RNAcentral describes it as "HSALNT0079465". Lineage: Eukaryota; Metazoa; Chordata; Mammalia; Primates; Hominidae. The record is from RNAcentral.
AGACAGUGGAAUAAGAUGGCUUCGCCUGAGGUUCCAACGUGUCUGCAGAAUGAUUUCCAUCAGAUUGCACGAUGUGGAUGGUCUGCUGAGAACGCUCACUUCAGACCAGAUGUUCAUCCGUCUUUAUUUUUUACAUCCACAAGAAGAGGAAAACAUUGGGCCAAUUUCAAAAUUAUAAUUGAAAAGAGUAACUUGAAAACAGAUACUCCCAGCCAUGCCCUUGCCUCAAGACAUCUGCCGUCUCCCUGGCCUCUGAGGCAGGGUGGGAAGACACCGCCACCCCAUUCCAUAGGUGAAGAGCUCUUUCAUGGGGUACAUGCGCAUCCCACUCCUUGCUCGGCUCAGCACAAGCUCAGCAUUGCCAGAGAGAAAAACUGGAAGACAGAGACAAACAAAACAACAACUGGUAGGUGGGUGCUUGUGAUAAGUUAAAGAUAGGAAACCAGGGAACGCUGUGGGCUGCCACCCCAGGGGCUUGGUCGCCACCAAGAGUGAAGGAGGAACAACAGGGAGAGGAUAUGCACCAGAGUCCCCAUCGCCAGCCUAAGCAGGAGCACAGGAGCAACAGCGUUUGAUGCUUUCCUACAAGAGGCUGAAGAAGGAAACAAGUUGCUGAGGUUUUGAAGAAUCGUGGGUCGCAUUUCCUUGGAUCAGCUAAGCCCCGAACAGAUCCCUAAAGCAACUGGGCUUCUGGUCCUAUUUCACCUUCAAAGAGAAUCAAUCCUACCCUUCCAUCCUGAACAGUCUUCUAGGCUCAAGCACUCUGAAUUUUCCUAUCGUGGCUGGAGCUAUCGAUUUGGUGCUAGUCUCACUCUCUUUGUCAACCUCUCUUGUGCAUUUAUUAAUACAAACUUAUUAUUUUUUCCUAACUUAGUUUUUAACGUGAUUACAUUCACAGAUUUUUUAAAAGUUGAUCUGCUCUUGAAUUCCUGGUUUUAUUCUAUGUAAUUAUCAGUAUUUUUUUUCAGAAAUGGUCUCUUUUUAUUUGAAUGGUUGAUCUAGGACUCAGCCUAAAUAUUAUUCUAAUACGUAGCUGUACAUAACCAACAUGUCUAUGAUGUUAGUGAUGAACCAGAACCAACACAGAGAUGGUCUUUGCCUGAUAAAAGAUAAUCACAAUCCGAAAUAAAAUUACUAGGUAAAAUACAGGAUGCCUAGUUAAAUUUGAGUAUCAGAUAAACAAUGAAACAUUUUUAGUUACAUGUCCCAUGUAAUAUUUGUACUAAAUACUUAUACUAAAUUGUAAAGGACAUACUUAUACUAAAUUGUAAAGGACAUCCUUAUACUAAAGGAAAGCAUUGCUUAUCUGAAAUUCACAUUUAACUGGUUGUCCUAUAUUUUUAUUUGUUAAAUGUGGCAAUCUUAAUCAUAAACAAAUAAGCAAACAAGUAUAAGUCUUAGAAAAGAAUAAAUCAAUUUUUAAAUGAAUGCAUUUAGUGUUGUCAGGGAAUAAUUACAAUAUGUCAGCAAACCUUGGCAACCAUUGGAAUCCCGUUUCUGAAAAUUACAGUGUAGUGUGAAGUAGAAAAUAACAACGAUGGUUUUAACUCAUAUGAAACAUAGAAAAAAUUCAGAAACAAACUAGAUUUAUUGGUUUUAAGGAAAAGAAGCCAGAACAACUACCAGAAUACUGUUCUGUUAGGUAACUCUUCUUUUAACCACCUUCUUUAAUUACUCAGGAAAUAUUUCUGUGUUUUCCUCAACAACUGGAGUAGAUUUUCCCAUGAGUUUUAUGUUACACAAAGUUUAGUUAUUUUUAAAGUUAUCAAAUCAGCUCUUACUGGCUUGAAGUUAAGUAUCCAUGGAACUUGUAUUUCCUUUGUUUUCCUUUCAAAUGUCUCCCCAAAAUGCUUGUAACUGUGUAUCCUUUCUGUAAAUAAUUUUGCCACUUAUUGUGUAUUUUUCUGGGUCUGAACUUGUGUUCAUAUUUUCAGAAGGUGGGUAAAAAUGUUUUCUCCGCAGCUACAUAGUAUUUUCUCCAGGAAGGCUGGCGGGGGCAGAGUGCAAUAAUUGUUUUGGUUUGAAGGGACAGAGGUGAACUGUUCAUACAUUAAAAGAUUUGGGAGGCCGGGUGCGGUGGCUCACGCCUGUAAUCUGUAAUCCCAGCACUUUGGGAGGCCAAAGUGGGCGGAUUACUUGAGGUCAGGAGUUUGAGACCAGCCUGGUCAACAUGGUAAAACACCAUCUCUACUGAAAAUACAAAAAAAUUAGCUGGGCUUGGUGGCAGGUGCCUGUAAUCCCAGCUACUCGGGAGGCUGAGGCAGGAGAAUCGCUUGAACCCGGGAGCCGGAGGUUGCAGGAGCAGAGAUUGCACCACUACACUCCAGCCUGGGCAACAGAGUAAGACUCCAUCUCAAAAAAAUAAAAAUAAAAUAAAAUAACUAAAUAAAUAAAAGAUUUGGGAUAGUUAGCUAAUAUUCUGGAAUAAAAUUAUAAAACUGGGUUAACUAAAAAUAACAUUUAUCCAAGUAUUGAUAUAUUUUGAUUUUAUUAUUUAAAUGAUUACAAUCUCCUCAUAUAUACAAGUAAAUCUUGGGGCAUUUGAUAAAUUUCAUGUUUAUGCAUUCAUUGAGUCAGCCACUACACUUUUGUUGUGUGCCUAUUAACGUGCAAGUGGCCAUUCUAAGUGGCCAUUUGGCAAGUGCAGGUGAAUGAGACCAGCUUCUGCCUCCCAGGGAAGUGGCUGUUAAGUAGGGACGAUGGCAUGCAAAUCGGUAAUUAUAAUACAGAUUAAUAAAAGCCAUCAUGUGUUUGUAUACAAAGUCUCAUGAGUACAUGGGAGAGGAAGACAUUCAUUGCAUUCGGGGCUAAGGGGUACUCAGGUAUUUGAUGCAGGGGAAUGGACCAGUCAGUUGAACCUUGGGAGUUCUUCAAGCAAAGAGGGAAGAGAAAGGCAUUACAGUUGAGGGCACAGCAUACAGAAAGACUCAGUGGCCCAACAGAGCUUGGCACACUCAAGUGGCUGUAUUAUAGGGCUCACGGUGGGAAGCAGGAAGUAGCAAAUGUAAAGCAGGAAAGGAACUCAAGACCAGCUCAUCAUUAGCUUGUAAUGAUGCCAAGGGGAUUGGACUCUAUCUCAAGGAGAUGAAGAACCACUGAGGGAUGAGUACAGGAGGAAAUGAUUCCAUUUUUAUUGCAGAACCAUCACUCUGGAGGUUAUGUGAAAAUGGGUUGGAGAUGAGACUAGAGGCAAGAAGACUGGUUAAGAAGUUAAGAAAAUAGCCUAGGCCGGGCGCGGUGGCUCACGCCUGUAAUCCCAGCACUUUGGGAGGCCGAGGCGGGCAGAUCACG